AGUGAACGCUGGCGGUAGGCCUAACACAUGCAAGUCGAACGGCAGCACAGUAAGAGCUUGCUCUUACGGGUGGCGAGUGGCGGACGGGUGAGGAAUACAUCGGAAUCUACUUUUUCGUGAGGGAUAACGUAGGGAAACUUACGCUAAUACCGCAUACGACCUACGGGUGAAAGCAGUGGAUCUUCGGACCUUGCGCGAUUGAAUGAGCCGAUGUCGGAUUAGCUAGUUGGCGGGGUAAAGGCCCACCAAGGCGACGAUCCGUAGCUGGUCUGAGAGGAUGAUCAGCCACACUGGAACUGAGACACGGUCCAGACUCCUACGAGAGGCAGCAGUGGGGAAUAUUGGACAAAGGGCGCAAGCCUGAUCCAGCCAUACCGCGUGGGUGAAGAAGGCCUUCGGGUUGUAAAGCCCUUUUGUUGGGAAAGAAAAGCAGCAGGUUAAUACCCCGCUGUUCUGACGGUACCCAAAGAAUAAGCACCGGCUAACUUCGUG
This 492-nucleotide ribosomal RNA is filed under the name uncultured bacterium. Its description in RNAcentral is "partial 16S ribosomal RNA". It matches the Rfam family "Bacterial small subunit ribosomal RNA", at positions 29 to 507 of the family's 1533-position model. The record is from RNAcentral.